AGUCAAUAGAUACCCGGGUAGUCCACGCCGUAAACGAUGAAUACUAGGUGUAGGGGUUGUCAUGACCUCUGUGCCGCCGCUAAACGCAUUAAGUAUUCCGCCUGGGGAGUACGGUCGCAAGAUUAAAACUCAAAGGAAUUGACGGGGCCGGCACAAGCAGCGGAGCAUGUGGUUUAAUUUACGUAAGCAACGCGAAGAACCUUACCUAGACUUGUACAUCUCCUGAAUUACUCUGUAAUGGAGGAAGCCCUUCGGGUCGAGAAGACAGGUGGUGCAUGGUUGUCGUCAGCUCGUGUCGUGAGAUGUUGGGUUAAGUACCCGCAACGAGCGC
This 331-nucleotide ribosomal RNA is filed under the name uncultured bacterium. Its description in RNAcentral is "bacterial SSU rRNA". It matches the Rfam family "Bacterial small subunit ribosomal RNA", at positions 775 to 1099 of the family's 1533-position model. The record is from RNAcentral.